This 349-nucleotide ribosomal RNA is filed under the name uncultured bacterium. RNAcentral describes it as "bacterial SSU rRNA". It matches the Rfam family "Bacterial small subunit ribosomal RNA", at positions 8 to 353 of the family's 1533-position model. The record is from RNAcentral.
AGAGUUUGAUCCUGGCUCAGGACGAACGCUGGCGGCGCGCCUAACACAUGCAAGUCGAACGAGAGAGAAGGAGCCUGCUUCUUCGAUCGAGUGGCGAACGGGUGAGUAACGCGUGAGGAACCUGCCCCAAAGAGGGGGACAACAGUUGGAAACGACUGCUAAUACCGCAUAAGCCCACAGGUCGGCAUCGACCAGAGGGAAAAGGAGCAAUCCGCUUUGAGAUGGCCUCGCGUCCGAUUAGCUAGUUGGUGAGGUAAUGGCCCACCAAGGCGACGAUCGGUAGCCGGACUGAGAGGUUGAACGGCCACAUUGGGACUGAGACACGGCCCAGACUCCUACGGGAGCAGCA